Molecule: long non-coding RNA, 2353 nt
Organism: Anolis carolinensis (green anole)
Lineage: Eukaryota; Metazoa; Chordata; Lepidosauria; Squamata; Anolidae
Exons: 2
Source: RefSeq, a predicted model, not a curated record
CCGUCGGUACGAUCCGUAAUUUCCACUCGACGAAAGCAACUCUGUCAUUUCAGAGAGUGCCUGUGCAAGGAAAAGAGAAGCGAGCCUUGUCUGAGAAGAGAGAAUGGAAAGGUGUUUGCUGCAAUUAUCAACCUUACCUGCGUAACACGGAUGAACUUGGUGAAGACUUCAGCUCGCUGUUGAGGUGUGGGCCUAUUGAGGACCAUGACCUGCACCCACUGAGAGAUGCUGUUGCAUAAGGCGAUGGCACGCUCUAGCGCUGGACUGCCCCGCACUGACCCACAAAGUACGUAAUUCCGGAAGUCUAGGUACUGACCAAUAUAAGAAUAAUACAAUAAAAAGUCAUGUUCUACUGAUCAGGCCACUCUAAGUAAACUGCUUUUACACAUCUUUGUUCAAUCUAGCAUCCUAAGUAGAUGACUAGAUUUUGGACAUUUGAUAACUAAAUGUACCCUUUAAUGGUUGUGUAGUACCUGGAAUUUUAGCAAGUGCUGCUUAUUAUUCAACCAAAUAGCAAACAACUUCUGUUGAAAUUCCUUCUUCUGUACCAGGUCUUCUUAAACAUUCCCACUUGGGACAAAAAAAAUAAUUAUGUGACCCUGGAUAUAUCUAUAUAUAUAAAAGGGUAAUGAAAUUUCGGCCUAGGACAAAACAACAAAACUACACAUCCCAGAAACACUAAACUUGCCAGCACAACCCCUCGUCCAUGCCUCUACGUUCAUACAACAAAAAGGAAAGAAAAAUAAAGUCCUAAUUAGAGGGAGAGGAAUAAUUGUUUUUAUCCAAUUGCUGCUAGUUAGAAGGCUAAGCUCCGCCCACUUGGUCUCCUAGCAACCCACUCAGCCCAGGGCGCAGGCAGAGUUAGGCCUCUUCCACACUGCUUAUAAAAUACAGAUUAUCUGAUUUUAACUGGAUUAUAUAGCAGUGUAGACUCAAGGCCCUUCCACACAGCUAUAUAACCCAUUUAUAAUGGACUUAAUGUCAGGGGAAAACCUUUACUCUUUACCUUAACUACCACCAAUUCCUCAAUACUUUAUUUCCCAUACCACCAUACUUCGCCACAGCAACGUGUGGCCGGCCACAGCUAGUAGGUAUAUAAAAUAAGUCAAAACCCAAACAUUUCCUGAUAACAAAGAAGCAUUUGCAAGGUUUGCUAAACAGACUGAUAUUCCUUUCAUGAAGUAUAACUGAAGCAUCUUCUGUAAAGUCCACUGCACAACUGAUUCCUGUAAAUGUCUAAAACACCCAUUAGCUGGCAUUCAGAAAAAAAAAUCCCAGACCCCAACAUUGAGCAAAGGAGAACCCAUUUGGGGUUGGGAUCACAGUUUAAGAAGCAGUGUUCUAUACAACCAUUAAAAGUACAGAAGCCAUUUCCAGUUUUCAAUGUGAAAACCUUAGAUCUACUACACUCUGAGUGAAGCAACUGUGGGAGCCAAAGGACACCCUGGAGGGAUGCUUCCCACACCACACAUCCCACAUCCAUGAAAAUUGAAAUGCCCUCAAACAUGCCACCUUGAGUUUUUGUAUAGGGAGAAAGGUGGGAUAAAAAUAAAGUAAGUAAAUUAAAGAAAAGAUCCUUUAGAAGACAGGGCAGACAUUUCGUCAUUUUUUUUUGCUGCUGCAACAGGGUCAUUUUAGGGCUAGGAAGGGCCUUAUUUAACAGGAAGUGAAUAUAAUUUCCUGUUUGCUUCCUUUUUAAAAAAUGCCUCUCCUGGACUACAAAUGGCUUAGGUCUCUAUUUGAGAUCGUUGCAUAAAACCGAGAAAUGAAGCAUCAACUUCAGGUUGUGGGGAGUGAUCAACUUGACUAAAUGGUCACUUUGCAGCAACCAGAUGUGCAUUUGCUGGUGAACCACUACAGUCAUAAAGAGACAACUGGCCAAAGAAUGACAAGUACAUGUGGCAAGUGGCCAUAGCACCCACUGGAAUGUUGUUUUUUUUAAAAAAAUCAAUUUAACAGCCAUUGGGAUUGUUGUUGGAGAGUGGCUAAGGGUGUUUUUUUUUUUUUUACUCAGAAAGGCUAAGGAAGUGCAUAUUAGUGACGCCUCCAUUAAAGCAUCCUAAGGAGAGGUUUAAAGUUCUUCUGAAGGACCAGAAUCCUUUUGGUGGUUUGCAAUGGCACAAUUUCACUUGCUGUUGUGUGCCUUCAGAUUGUUUCUGACUUACAGUGACCCUAAGCCUCUUCCAAUGUGUAGUCUAUCACAUUUGGUUUUUACCAGUUCUUAUAGCCACACAUUGGCCCCAAUUUUAUUUUCUUGUGCAGCUUUAUAUUUAUUUACUUUUUAUUUACUUUCUCUCCAUAGGGACUCAAGGCAGCUGUGACAUGACACAAUACAAUAGAAUUUUAAAAACAA